CCUCACUCCUUCCUUCUGCCAUGUGAGGCCCCAGGGAGAAGAUGAUCAUCUAUGAAGCAGAAAGCGGGCCCUUAUCAGACUUUGAAUCUGCCAACACUUUGAGGUUGAACUUCCAAACUCCAGAACUGGCACCCCACGCUGAAGAAUAACAGUGGCAAUGAUCUAUUGAAAAAUUUAUGAAGUUCAAAAGUGAAGUAAAACAGUAGAUAAGAAGGGAAAGUACUAUCUCUAUUCUACCUAUAGAUGGUGAUUGAAUUCAUAAGCUAUUCUACCCUCUGGGCAAGCUUCAUCCUGAUUUAUAAGACCUACUGGACUGGAGGAGUGAACCCAGGAACAAUAACAACAACAAAAUGAACCUCUGAUGUCUUUGAGACCUGUUCUGACCACCAACCGUGACCCUACAACCACAGAGCCUCUCACCACCACAGGAUGAACCUGGAGUUUUAAUAUGUCAACACUGAAUCUCAAAGAAGCUCACAUAUUCUGGUACAUAUUUCCUUAUAUAUUUAUUACUGUUUUCUCACCAGGGAACCAGCAAUGACAGAUUUAGUGACUAUAACUUUUAUUCACUUGAAAAACAGAGGUCCUGAGGAUAAACUAAAGAAUAACGUUUGUUUAGAACGAACAAGGUACUAACUGCUCCUUUCUAUCUAGAUCAGUGGACUUCAUUUUUUGUGCUAUGUGGUAGGAUGUAAUGAUAUAUUUGGUCAGCUUUGUCCCCAAAGAGGUAUUGAUGUGAUUUUUAAGAAGUUAUACUCUUCUAUUAUUAUGUUCAUGUAAAAGAAUUCUCUCUUCAAAGGAAACAUUCUAGAAAGAAAUCCAUUACAAUGCUGUGAUUAAUGUCCUUCACCAAAUGCAGGAAAGAGAGUUAAGGCUGUAACUCCAAUUCUCUUAUGCAUGCUGGAAAAGAUAUUCUAUCUCUAGUUCCUAUCACAAGAUGCUCAGGAGAGCUGCCUUUUAGCACCAUUAAUACCCAAAAAGGGUACUCUUUCCACAGUCCCCUCUAUAGGCCCCAAACUCUCUCAAACUCAUCACCCAUGACUUCCAAGGCAUUAGUCACUUAAUGAUCUUUAUCAUCCUUGAGCUGCCUCUACCAAACACUUCUAUCUGCUCAGUCACUGUUUAACUGCUGAAAUUAUCCUCUCUCGGCUCUUCAUAUCUCUCUGCUCCUUCUCCCUCAUCUCCGUUACUGACUACUCAGUGCCUCAGCCUUCCUCUUAAAUGUUGUGUUCUCCAAGGUUCCACCCUGGAUGAUUUUCUCACGCAGAAAUCUCAUUCAGCACUUCUAUGUGGCAACACAUCAGUAUCUUCACAUCAGGCCACUCAGCUAAAUACCUAGAUCCAGUGCAUCUAAAUACCAGCCAGUAACCCCUGUGCAGUUACUUCAGACUUACCUGCCCAAGAUGGAAUUCAUCCUCCUCCUCCCUCUCCCCCUGGUCAAACUUGUUCCUUCUUCCGUAAUCCUUCUUUAGCUUAAUAGUGACACCACCUACCCAGGCAUUCAAGUCAGAGGUGACUAACUCUCUCUGAGACCUUUACACAGGUAGUAAUAUUUGAGCUUCAUCCAUGAACAAAUAGAAAUGUACCAGUUUGAAAAGAGUGUGAAAGAAUUCCAAGAAUGAAACAAGAUUUUGAAAAAGUCAUUGAGUUGGGCAUUUUUCUUUAUGUAUUCUUUAAUAUAAAGCUCAUUUAAGAAAUAAAGGGCAAAGGUGGGAGGAAAGUCACUGAGCCAUGAAACAGCAUGAUGUGCUGUUUAGAGGCUGAUAAGAAACCAUAUUUGUCUGAAUUAUAGAGAAUACAGUAGAAGUUGGCAGGAGAUGAAAUAGAAGUAAAUCAGGAUCAGAUUGUAAAGGAUCUUGUGUAUCAACCUAAGGCUCUGUAUUUUAUUCUAUAAGCAAUAGGAGGUCUCCUCUGAUCCUCAGAGAACUAUCUUUUUUAGCAGCACCUUGUAGCUUUCACAUUGCCUCUGGUGGCUUCCAAAUUUUCAUCAGAUCUGUCCUGAGCCAUUCUUGGGAAACUUAUGACUCUCAAAGAAUCAUUCAGUAUUUGUUACUAAAGGUUCAUGGGAGCUACGAUAGCGUAGUACCUUAUAAUCUUAUAAUCUUCUAAAUAAGAAUACUGUAGUGAACAUUUAUUGUGUUCGAUAACUAUCAACCAUUUCCCCAUCUUUUGGAAACAGAGACUCAGUUUUCCUUUGAGGAUCAUCUCUCUUCCACUGAAGUCUCUGUGCUUCAAGUGGAGGUGACUCUUUGUCCAGCUUCUGCACCCUUCCCCCCCACCAGCUAGGCCAUUGCAUCACUCUAGCCACGGUAACUCUUCAAGGAUACACAUGACUCAACUAAAACAAAUGAUAGUCCAGAUAUUUUGUUUGAACUAUUUUGGGAGAUACUAUCUUUUCUAUUGAAUUUGGGCUUGGGAAGAUGUUAAGAGUAGAGCCCACUGGAAACCAGCUUACCCCCACCAAGAACCUAAGGAUGAAAUCAACAUGGAAUUUUAAAAACAGCAAGAGAUUUUCAUAGCUGCGUGUUGAGUGCUGAGGGAGAUACAGUGUAGUAAAUGCAUGACCCCUACCUUCAAUAAGCUUGAAAUAUAUCUGAGAAAACAAUAAUAAGUAUACGAAUAAUACUCAAGUGAAAGAAAGAAACUGAAAAACUACCGUCUCCUAUUUACACUACAAGGAAAGUAAGACCAGAGUGUUUGUCUCUUUUCUACUGAGACAAACAGGAGAGCCUGCCAAGCUGCCCAAACUGGAGAAAGGGAGUUUGAAGGAGCAUAAAUUAGGCAUUUAAGCUUUCAUUUGUCUCUCAGUUUUUUUACUUAUCUCUCCCCAUCAGCUCACCUUCUUAAAUAUUAACGGGUAAAAAUAUUCUUACCCUUCACCCUGCCCUGACUUUAUUGUGAAUUGUCUUAUAACCAUGUUUUUCUGUAGAAAAGGAGAAAUGUUGGCAUACUAAUUUUAAAACAGAUUGACAGGCAACAGAAAGUUAGACGGAGAAAUGCUCACAUGAUCAGAGUGCUAUCCAGGGACGGUGAUGGAAGAAAGAUGCUUAAGAAAACUGAAAAAGCAGGAGACAGGCUGACUGGGUGAGAU
Long non-coding RNA from Physeter macrocephalus (sperm whale), 3091 nucleotides. RefSeq lists it as uncharacterized. The transcript is spliced from 4 exons. NCBI's taxonomy places the organism in Eukaryota, Metazoa, Chordata, Mammalia, Artiodactyla, Physeteridae. The record is from RefSeq and is a predicted model, not a curated record.